AUCCGGGUUGCGGACAGUGUCUGGUGGGUAGUUUGACUGGGGCGGUCUCCUCCCAAAGAGUAACGGAGGAGCACGAAGGUUGGCUAAUCCUGGUCGGACAUCAGGAGGUUAGUGCAAUGGCAUAAGCCAGCUUGACUGCGAGCGUGACGGCGCGAGCAGGUGCGAAAGCAGGUCAUAGUGAUCCGGUGGUUCUGAAUGGAAGGGCCAUCGCUCAACGGAUAAAAGGUACUCCGGGGAUAACAGGCUGAUACCGCCCAAGAGUUCAUAUCGACGGCGGUGUUUGGCACCUCGAUGUCGGCUCAUCACAUCCUGGGGCUGAAGUAGGUCCCAAGGGUAUGGCUGUUCGCCAUUUAAAGUGGUACGCGAGCUGGGUUUAGAACGUCGUGAGACAGUUCGGUCCCUAUCUGCCGUGGGCGCUGGAGAAUUGAGGGGGGCUGCUCCUAGUACGAGAGGACCGGAGUGGACGCAUCACUGGUGUUCGGGUUGUCAUGCCAAUGGCACUGCCCGGUAGCUAAAUGCGGAAGAGAUAAGUGCUGAAAGCAUCUAAGCACGAAACUUGCCCCGAGAUGAGUUCUCCCUGAGACCUUGAGUCUCCUGAAGGAACGUUGAAGACGACGACGUUGAUAGGUCGGGUGUGUAAGCGCAGCGAUGCGUUGAGCUAACCGAUACUAAUGAACCGUGAGGCUUAACCUUACAACGCCGAAG
This 705-nucleotide ribosomal RNA is filed under the name Enterobacter hormaechei. RNAcentral describes it as "partial 23S ribosomal RNA". It matches the Rfam family "Bacterial large subunit ribosomal RNA", at positions 2238 to 2925 of the family's 2925-position model. The record is from RNAcentral. Lineage: Bacteria; Pseudomonadati; Pseudomonadota; Gammaproteobacteria; Enterobacterales; Enterobacteriaceae.